UACGUAGGGUGCGAGCGUUAAUCGGAAUUACUGGGCGUAAAGCGUGCGCAGGCGGUUUUGUAAGUCAGAUGUGAAAGCCCCGGGCUUAACCUGGGAAUGGCAUUUGGGACUGCAAGGCUUGAGUGCGGCAGAGGAGACUGGAAUUCCUGGUGUAGCAGUGAAAUGCGUAGAUAUCAGGAGGAAUACCGAUGGCGAAGGCAGGUCUCUGGGCCGUAACUGACGCUGAGGAGCGAAAGCGUGGGGAGCGAACAGG
Molecule: ribosomal RNA, 253 nt
Filed under: uncultured bacterium
Lineage: Bacteria
Description: partial 16S ribosomal RNA
Rfam family: Bacterial small subunit ribosomal RNA
Source: RNAcentral